RNAcentral lists this ribosomal RNA (429 nucleotides) under Gemmatimonadota bacterium. RNAcentral's name for it is "Gemmatimonadetes bacterium partial 16S ribosomal RNA". It matches the Rfam family "Bacterial small subunit ribosomal RNA", at positions 355 to 776 of the family's 1533-position model. The record is from RNAcentral. Lineage: Bacteria; Pseudomonadati; Gemmatimonadota.
UAGGGAAUCUUCGGCAAUGGACGAAAGUCUGACCGAGCAACGCCGCGUGGGUGAAGAAGGUUUUCGGAUCGUAAAACUCUGUUGUUAGAGAAGAACAAGGACGUUAGUAACUGAACGUCCCCUGACGGUAUCUAACCAGAAAGCCACGGCUAACUACGUGCCAGCAGCCGCGGUAAUACGUAGGUGGCAAGCGUUGUCCGGAUUUAUUGGGCGUAAAGCGAGCGCAGGCGGUUUCGUAAGUCUGAUGUGAAAGCCCCCGGCUCAACCGCGGAGGGUCAUUGGAAACUGGGGGACUUGAGUGCAGAAGAGGAGAGUGGAAUUCCAUGUGUAGAGGUGAAAUGCGUAGAUAUAUGGAGGAACACCAGUGGCGAAGGCGGCUCUCUGGUCUGUAACUGACGCUGAGGCUCGAAAGCGUGGGGAGCAAACAGG